RNAcentral lists this transfer RNA (68 nucleotides) under Theopropus elegans. RNAcentral describes it as "tRNA-Leu". The record is from RNAcentral. Lineage: Eukaryota; Metazoa; Arthropoda; Insecta; Mantodea; Hymenopodidae.
ACUAUUUUGGCAGAAUUAAGUGUAACAGAUUUAGAUUCUGUAAAUGUGAUAAAUAAUCAUAAGUAGUA